This 21-nucleotide non-coding RNA is filed under the name Arabidopsis thaliana (thale cress). The record is from RNAcentral. Lineage: Eukaryota; Viridiplantae; Streptophyta; Magnoliopsida; Brassicales; Brassicaceae.
UGAUCAAUGGGUUUUGUAUGC